Molecule: ribosomal RNA, 253 nt
Filed under: uncultured bacterium
Lineage: Bacteria
Description: partial 16S ribosomal RNA
Rfam family: Bacterial small subunit ribosomal RNA
Source: RNAcentral
UACAGAGGUCCCAACCGUUGUUCGGAUUCAUUGGGCGUAAAGGGUGCGUAGGCGGCGGGGCAAGUCAGGUGUGAAAUCUCGGGGCUCAACCCCGAAACUGCACUUGAUACUGCCUUGCUCGAGUACUGGAGAGGAGACUGGAAUUUACGGUGUAGCAGUGAAAUGCGUAGAUAUCGUAAGGAAGACCAGUGGCGAAGGCGAGUCUCUGGACAGUUACUGACGCUGAGGAGCGAAAGCCAGGGGAGCAAACGGG